UUCAAGAGUACGUGAAACCGCUCAGGGGUAAACCUGCGAAACUCGAAUGAACGAACGGGGAGAUUCAUCGUUAUUCCGCGGCGUGGUGGCGCACUCUCGAUAUCUACGGUCUCGGCCGUGCGGUACGGGGUGUGUCGUUUUCGACGUUCGUGGACGGCGUGCACUUCUCCCUUAGUAAUACAUCGCGACCCGUUCGAUGUCGGUCUAAGCGCCGUUCGGGAGUCACUGUUGCACCUUUCGGGGCGUCAGCGGUGACCGUGACGGUUGCCGACCGGCUGUCGGACGGUAUUUUAACGGAUCGCGUACGCGUUUAUGCGCGUCCGGCCCGACGCAAGGCUACGUCGUUCACCCCCGUCCUGCCCGAGUGCGGGCGGGGGUGCGGCGCGCCUGUCGUCGCAGCCGUGCUGUCUCGGACUGUACGCGUCCCGUGUCUGCGAUGAUUCAGUUUCGGGCACUCGCAGGACCCGUCUUGA
Molecule: ribosomal RNA, 473 nt
Filed under: Perizoma alchemillatum
Lineage: Eukaryota; Metazoa; Arthropoda; Insecta; Lepidoptera; Geometridae
Description: eukaryotic LSU rRNA
Source: RNAcentral